This 845-nucleotide long non-coding RNA is filed under the name Gossypium barbadense (sea-island cotton). RNAcentral describes it as "long non-coding RNA (GBAR_LNC022185)". Lineage: Eukaryota; Viridiplantae; Streptophyta; Magnoliopsida; Malvales; Malvaceae. The record is from RNAcentral.
AACCCCUCAGUUCUCCGGCGUCCAGUCCGGCCAUCGGUCAUCGUGCCGGCCGCCGAUCUCCAGCGCCGGCACUGCCGUAUGCGGUGGCCGAAAAAGGGAAAAACGCCUUAUUCGAUUCCCUUGACUUUACUAAACCCAAAUCUGGGUUCAAAGUUUCAAAAAACCACAGAAAACGCGACGAAAAAUCACAGAACCUUUCGGUUUCCGACCAUCGACCCGAGGAAUAGCUCCCUCAAUCGUCUCCGCAUCGUUUCAAAAUCGAAAACAGGUUGUUCCCUUCUUUUUAUUUAAUUUAUUCGCAUGCAAAUAAAAAAAUAAAAUGAAUAUAAUCUAACAAUAGAUAAAAAAAAUUGUUAAUAGCAACCUUUUGAAUCGAUUUAUGCCCUUCCCCUAUUUGAACUCUCUGUGUUGCAAAAAUAAUAGCUUUCUUUUUUUAUUAAUUUUCGGGGAUCAAUAUUACAGAAUAUCAAUGGCUCUUUUAUAGCCGAAGUAUCAACAAUAUAAAGAAACAAUUUUUGAUUUGGUUUGCAAAUCUUUUUCUUUCCAUAUACUGCUGCUUUCUUUCUUGAUGUGCAGGUACAACGAUCAUGCAGGGCUGCGGCGCGAACGAGGAAAGCUGUGGUUUACCCUAGAAACCCUAGGGUUUCUGAAAUUACUUGGGCCACUAAUUUUGGGCCUAUUUUGUUAUAAUCGGGUUUGGGUUAAUUGGGCCACUAUUUUGUCUUAUUAACUUGGCCAUACAAGCCUGCUUGUAAUUCGAGCCUUUUAGACCCGGGUAAAAUCGGGUAUUUACAGUAAAGAUAUAACAAUGUGGAUGAAAAAUCUUGUUAUGUACAAAUAUUAAA